CCUACGGGAGGCAGCAGUGGGGAAUUUUCCGCAAUGGGCGAAAGCCUGACGGAGCAAUACCGCGUGAGGGAAGACGGCCUAUGGGUUGUAAACCUCUUUUUUCAGGGAGGAAUUUUGACGUGUACCUGAAGAAUAAGCAUCGGCUAACUCCGUGCCAGCAGCCGCGGUAAGACGGAGGAUGCAAGUGUUAUCCGGAAUCACUGGGCGUAAAGCGUCUGUAGGUGGUUGAACAAGUCAACUGUUAAAUCUUGAGGCUCAACUUCAAAAUCGCAGUCGAAACUGUUUGACUAGAGUAUAGUAGGGGUAAAGGGAAUUUCCAGUGGAGCGGUGAAAUGCGUAGAUAUUGGAAAGAACACCGAUGGCGAAGGCACUUUACUGGGCUAUUACUGACACUCAGAGACGAAAGCUAGGGUAGCAAAUGGGAUUAGAUACCCCAGUAGUCCUAGCCGUAAACAAUGGAUACUAGAUGUUGAACAGAUCGACCUGUGCAGUAUCAAAGCUAACGCGUUAAGUAUCCCGCCUGGGAAGUAUGCUCGCAAGAGUGAAACUCAAAGGAAUUGACGG
Molecule: ribosomal RNA, 564 nt
Filed under: uncultured cyanobacterium
Lineage: Bacteria; Bacillati; Cyanobacteriota
Description: bacterial SSU rRNA
Rfam family: Bacterial small subunit ribosomal RNA
Source: RNAcentral